This 1299-nucleotide ribosomal RNA is filed under the name metagenome. RNAcentral describes it as "SSU rRNA". It matches the Rfam family "Eukaryotic small subunit ribosomal RNA", at positions 495 to 1823 of the family's 1831-position model. The record is from RNAcentral.
AUUGGGUUCCGGCAUUGGAAUGAGAACAAUAUAAAUCUUUUAACGAGGAUCUAGUGGAGGGCAAGUCUGGUGCCAGCAGCCGCGGUAAUUCCAGCUCCGCAAGUGUAUAUCUAUGUUGCUGCAGUUAAAAAGCUCGUAGUUGGAUCUGCGUGUUUAGCGUCCGGUUCGACUUUUGGUCGUUACUGGAACGCGACACAGAUGUGCUGGUUUGCCGUUGAUGCUCUUAACCGGGUGUCAGUGGCGGCUAGCGAGUUUACUUUGAAAAAAUUAGAGUGCUCAAAACAGGCGUUUCGCCUGAAUAUUUCUGCAUGGAAUAAUAGAAUAGGACUUCGAUUCUAUUCUGUUGGUUUUCGGAAUGCGAAGUAAUGAUUAAGAGGGACAGACGGGGGCAUUCGUACUGCGACGUUAGAGGUGAAAUUCUUGGAUCGUCGCAAGACGUACUACUGCGAAGGCAUUUGCCAAGAAUGUUUUCAUUAAUCAAGAACGAAAGUUAUGGGUUCGAAGGCGAUCAGAUACCGCCCUAGUCAUAACCGUAAACGAUUCAAACUGGGCGCCCGACGGUGUUUUUAUUGACCCGUCGGGAACCCUCCCGGAAACGAAAGUGUUCGUGUUCCGGGGGAAAUAUGUCUGCAAAGAGGAAACUUAAAGGAAUUGACGGAAGGGCACCACCAGGGGUGGAGCCUGCGGCUUAAUUUGACCCAACACGGGGAAACUCACCCGGCCCGGACACCGUAAGGAUUGACAGAUUGAGAGCUCUUUCUUGAUUCGGUGGGUGGUGGUGCAUGGCCGUUCUUAGUUGGUGGAGUGGUUUGUCUGGUUUAUUCCGAUAACGAACGAGACUCUGGCCUGCUAACUAGUGUUCACAUCUUUACGUGUGCUUCGCUUCUUAGAGGGACAGGCGGCUUCCAGCCGCAUGAAGAAGAGCAAUAACAGGUCUGUGAUGCCCUUAGAUGUCCGGGGCUGCACGCGCGCUACACUGAAAGAAUCAGCGUGUACGUUACCUGGCUCGAAAGAGUCGGGUAAUCCGGUGAAAAUCUUUCGUGAUUGGGAUCGGGACUUGCAAUUAUUUCCCUUGAACGAGGAAUCCCUAGUAAGUGCGGGUCAUCAGCUCGCGCUGAUUACGUCCCUGCCCUUUGUACACACCGCCCGUCGCUGCCCGGAACUGAGCCGUUUCGAGAAAAAUGGGGACUGUCUACUUGAGGUCUUCACGGACUUUUUGUAAAUGGAAACCGCUUUAAUCGCAGCGGCUUGAACCGGGCAAAAGUCGUAACAAGGUUUCCGUAGGUGAACCUGCGGAAG